RNAcentral lists this long non-coding RNA (3348 nucleotides) under Mytilus galloprovincialis (Mediterranean mussel). The record is from RNAcentral. Lineage: Eukaryota; Metazoa; Mollusca; Bivalvia; Mytilida; Mytilidae.
ACGUGCUGUCAUGAAAGUUUAUACACGAAUUUCACAAUAAAACAAAUAGAAUGGUAAGAAUAAUAAGUGAAAAGUAUUUUUCACUGUUGUUUAUGAAACACAUACAUAUAAAAGUAUACCAAUAAGCUAUGUUCCAAGGAAUAUUUUCAAGUUUAUUGGAUUUAUUCCCCAAAAACCGAGACCAGAUGGCAAUACAUUUUUAAAUUAAACUGUCAACCACAGGUAUUUGGGGCAUGGACCCCCUUUUUUGGACCUCACUAAAAAAGAAAUUGUUUGGUGUUUUUUUUAUUUAUUUUCAAUUUUCUACAAUGUAUAAACAUAUAUCAAGUCUCAACAAUCCAUUGCUAGUCGAUUGCAAUAACUUUUUUACUAUCCAUACGAGCCCCAAGUGAAAAAAGAAGAAGGUAAUUACCUUCGAUGACUGACCUACUUUCACUUUGGAGGAUCAGGUAAGGAAAUCGAUAAAAAUUUCAUAUAAAAACUCACUUACUUUUCAUAAAAAGUACAUCCUUAGAUUCCUGAGAUAUUUUUCUCGAUGUUUAAAUAGGUCACAUGGUGAUCUGCGGAGGUUUUGUGUCUUGUUUUACUGAUUUUGUUCUACAAUUGUCGUCCGUUUGAACCUCGAUUCACGGAAGUGAAAAUACAGUGCCAUCUGCGUGGUCUUUUGCUAUGUUUCUAUAACUCCGUUUGACUAAACUGCUUUCCUGUUAACUGUUUUUUUUAAUUUUUAAAAGACCGGCAAAAAUACUUUUUUCGAAUAUCUCUUACCUUUUCUUAUAGCUACAUUGCAUUCGGAACCAAACUGUAAAACUGGUAACCAAAAACAGGAAAGCAGUUUAGUCAAACGGAGUUAUAGAAACAUAGCGAAAGACCACGCAGAUGGCGCUGUAUUUUCACUUCCGUGAAUCGAGGUUCAAACGGACGACAAUUGUAGAACAAAACCAGUAAAACAAGACACAAAACCUCCGCAGAUCACCAUGUGACCUAUUUAAACGUCGAGAAAAAUAUCUCAGGAAUCUAAGGAUGUACUUUUUAUGAAAAGUAAGUGAGUUUUUAUAUGAAAUUUUUAUCGAUUUCCUGACCUGAUCCUCCAAAGUGAAAGUAGGUCAGUCAUCGAAGGUAAUUACCUUCUUCUUUUUUCACUUGGGCUCGUAUGGAUAGUAAAAAAGUUAUUGCAAUCGACUAGCAAUGGAUUGUUGAGACUUGAUAUAUGUUUAUACAUUGUAGAAAAUUUAAAAUAAAUAAAAAAACACCAAACAAUUUCUUUUUUAGUGAGGUCCAAAAAAGGGGGGUCCAUGCCCCAAAUACCUGUGCUGUCAACCUGCCCGGUCCGUUCACAGGGGCUUGUUUAGUGGGUCAGACGAGGUUUUACUGUCAAUUCACGUUAGACCCCUUUCACGUUCGCACCCUUUUAUUGGUAUUGACUAUUGUCUUUAACUUAGUCUUAGUCAGAUAUAUAGUGGGAAAAUAAAUGAGGUAUGUGAUUUAACUCAAAAAAGUGCUAUAUGUACAUACUAAGCAUAAAGAACAAAAGCCAGAGAUUCUAUACACUCAACGGCCACAUACUCCAACAAGUUCAGAGCAACCCAUACCUAGGAGAGCAGAUAUCAGAAGACCUGAAGUGGAGCACGCACAUAACUAAUGUUGCUAAAAUGGCAAAUUCAACCUUAGGCUUCCUCAGAAAAAAUUUACGAUACUGACCACAGGAAUGUAAGAAAACUGCUUACAUUUCUCUAGUAAGAUCAACAAUGGAAUAUGCAGCAACAGUAUGGGACCCCUACAGUAUAGCAGACUCAAACAAGCUAGAACAAAUACAAAGACAAGCAGCACGCUUUAUCACAGGCGACUAUAGAACUAGAGAAGAUGGCUGCAUAACAAACAUGCUUACAAAAUUAGAGCUACAGGAAUUACAAUUGAGAUGCACAAGCCAAAAACUUAUAUUUUUGUACAAGGUGGUUGAGGGGCUGGUACCUGCUAUUGAUCCAGACGACUUCCUCAAAUCAGCAAGACCAAGAUGAACCAUCACAGCUAAAAUGUUUGACAACUAUCAAGCCACAAACAUAGUUGGAAAACAAGUGAGGAACAAUGCCAGGUGUUUUGACAUUCCUACCAGUAAAACACCACAACAUUCAAAUUUAUUCUUUGUGUCCACAAUUGUAAAUUGGAACCAUCUAGAAGACACUAUUGUUCGCGCAACGAGUGUAGAGAGCUUUAAAUCUGCUCUCGCGAAACGUCAGUAAAUCGACGGUGCCUUCACUCCCGUUGUAUAAAAGCCAGAAUUGGUAUCUACGACGUACCCAUACAGAUACAGAUAGUUUUUAAUUGUUUCAAAAUUAGGAGUCAUCUAAUAAAGUGAAAUACUGAAUAGGUUUACUUAGUUUAAAGGGUUUUAUUAGGCCUAAUGAACUGCAAAAAAGACAGCAAAGGUCAGAAAAAAGUCAGAGAUGUGUUUUAAAUAAAAAUAAUUUAAUUUUGGAUGCAACACGUCUUAUGAUUGGCUGACAGUGUUGCGUCUAUCAACUAAUGGUCAUAAUUUUGUCAUGUGACCGUGACGUCAUGAAUGUUUGUCAUGUUUUACUUUAAUAAAAUUAUAAGGAAUGACUGUAAUAUUUGUUCUGUCUGGGCCAAAAUUAAAAAAAGGGUUUGUUUACCAUAGCCCGACCGACCCGAUUGAAACCCUUCCGACUGUAAAGUUUGACAAAAAAUCGUAAAGUGUUUUUUGUUUUCAUUUUUACGAUUUCCGGAUUUUUUUGGGUUCUUUUCCGUAUCCGGUUGUCUUUUUCUCCUCCACUUCGGUCUUGGUCGUAAAGUUGCUUUGAAUGUCAACCUGUGUAUACUUGUGGUUUAAAGCACUAAACUGAUUCGGAUGUCCAGACAUGGACGCUAACAACAAUGUCCAAUAGGCUAUUUGCCAAUUCCCGUAAUUGACCCUGUAAUAAGAGAUCCCUUCUUUUAGUUGUCUCCCUUAUGAGGACAUAAAUUUUUUAUUUACAAUGGAGAGCUAGCAGGAAAAGCAAAUUUACCUGUGUGUAAUGUGAGUAAUCUUUAAGGUUUUCAAAUCUUUAAAUUACAUUAAUUUGUUGUCCAGCUAAAUACUUUUGACAUCAGAAAUUAUUUUUCAUGAAAAAUUAGUUAAACCGCAGAUACAUAACUUUCAAUUCAUCAUGUUUUGCAUUGGCAAAAGCCAUUUUUGUCCGGUAUGGAACCAGUCUACGAUUGACAAAGGGAAGUAAUUUGUUUAAAAAGUGUGUAAUAACAGAAUCAAAAUGGUAAUUGGCAAAUGGACUAUUGAAAAGAAAAUUAGAAGCUAUAAAGGGCCCGGAUACAGUAAAAGCAAGCUGACCACCC